GGCUCCCGCUCCAGUCGCUCGUUAGCCUCGAAAUCGACCGGUUCGCUUUUUCGUCGAAAUACAAAAAAAAACAUCCGAGUUUAUUCAUAUCAACUCUUUUUCGCUCUCUUCCUUCUCCGCGGUACGUUAUCAACAAUAAUGGCGGCUAAAAACCAAGUCUGCAUCAUCGGAUCUGGGAAUUGGGGUUCGGCAAUUGCGAAAAUCAUCGGGGCAAAUACAGCGAAACUGGAAAAUUUCGAGGACCGAGUGACCAUGUACGUAUACGAGGAAAUAAUAGAUGGGAAAAAACUCACUGAAAUUAUCAACGAAACCCACGAGAACGUCAAGUACCUUCCGGGUCACAAACUCCCGGAAAAUGUCGUAGCUGUACCAGACGUAGUGGAAGCAGCAGCAAAUGCCGAUAUCCUAGUGUUCGUAGUUCCCCACCAAUUUAUACGUCGAAUCUGCAGCACAUUACUGGGAAAAAUAAAGCCCACUGCCGUUGGUUUAUCUCUCAUCAAGGGUUUUGACAAGAAAGAGGGAGGUGGGAUCGAAUUAAUCUCCCACAUAAUAGCUGCAGAGCUCAAGAUACCCAUGGCUGUACUUAUGGGCGCUAAUUUAGCCUCCGAGGUCGCUGAUGAGAUGUUCUGUGAGACUACUAUAGGUUGCAAGGACAAGGCCGUUGGUACUGUACUCCGAGAUAUGAUUCAGACGUCAUUCUUCCGAGUCGUUGUUGUUGAUGACGUGGACUCGGUCGAGUGCUGCGGUGCUCUCAAGAAUAUCGUAGCUUGUGGUGCUGGUUUUGUCGAUGGUCUGGGUCUCGGCGAUAACACCAAAGCUGCUGUCAUUCGGCUCGGACUCAUGGAAAUGAUUAAAUUCGUCGAUGUGUUCUUCCCAGGGGGUAAAUUAAGUACUUUCUUCGAGAGUUGUGGAGUCGCUGAUUUAAUCACCACGUGCUAUGGUGGAAGGAACAGGAAAGUUUCAGAGGCUUUCGUUAAGACAGGAAAGACAAUCGAAGAAUUGGAAAGGGAUAUGCUAAAUGGCCAGAAGCUCCAGGGACCCUUCACCGCUGAGGAAGUUAACUAUAUGCUUAAGCUCAAGGACAUGGAGAGCAGAUUUCCACUAUUCACAGCCAUCCACAGAAUCUGCGUAGGGGAACUAAAACCGGGUGAUCUCAUUGACUGCAUUCGUAGCCAUCCCGAACACAUGUAAGCUCAAAAAAAAUUAGAAAGAAAAGGUGUCGGAUCAAUCUGGUGGAAAGGGGGUAUCUUUUCUCUGUAAAGUCUCAGCCUACUGUUGAAAGAGAAAAACUAUUUCUUUUCUCUUCUGCUUGGUUUUAAUUCUCGUCGAGCUGCAUCGGCAAUUUCAUUGUUACUUUUAAUGAAUUUUAACUACUAUUUUAUAUAGAUUAUGUAUGUCAGGGAAAUGUUUUCGGAUGAAAAUUCCCUUUUUCAUUUUAUUAAUUCGUUGAGAGAUCUUUUUAGUUGAGAAAAUACUGAUUUCACUCUUUAAAGUUGAGAUAGAACACUCGUGAUGAUGAAAUGAAUAUUUCUGGUUUGACUACAUAAACAACAAGAAGAUUUCAUGUUUUUGCGCAAUUGACGAUCAUAAAUUCGACGAGAUAAUUUUAAUCAAUUUUUGUGUUGUCUGAAGAGCCAUAUCAAUUGUUUCUGAAGAGAGAAUUAUCCUCCAUUCUCUGGCGAAAAGAGGGAGAUUUCUCUCUAGGUAGAAUCUCAAACGGCAAUGCCAAGAGAAAACAUCUUCGUUCCUUGUCUGUUUGCUUUUAAUUUUCGUCGAAUUAACGCGAUAAUUUCCUAGUUACUUUUCAUUAUUUCUCGUUAUUGUUUCUCCAAUGAAAGUUGUGAAUGUAAAUAUGUAACCUAUGUCUGUAGAUUAUGUAUAUUCUGGAAAUUUCGGUUUUUUUCUUUGUUUUAACCGAUUGAUCAAAUUUUUCCAUUGAGAAAUCAAAUGUUUUGAUGGGUUAGAUUGAGAGAGAAAAAUCAUUAUAAUGAAAUCAAUAUUUCAAGUUUAUUUAGUCAGCCUUGUAGAUACAGAAUUCUAGAUUUUCUGGAUCAAUUCUCAAGAUGUAGAGAGGAGGGAGAAUAUUUUUCCCGACGUAGAAUCUCAAAUUCGAUGUUAGUGGAGGAAAAAUUCUGCUUUAAUGUUCUGCUUGCUUUUCAUUUUCGUCGAAUUGCAUCGAAAUUUUCUUUGUUAAUUUUAAUGAAUUUUAACUAUUGUUCCUCCUCUGGAAAUUGUGAUUGUAAAUAUGUACGUAUGACUAUACACUAUGUAUACUAGGGAACAAUUUCUGCAUGGAAAUUCCUUUUCUUCUUUCAAGCAGUUGAUCGAUUUGUCAAGUUAACAAAAAAUGAAUUCACGCUUUAGAAUUGAGAAAGAACAGUAAUGAUGAUGAAAUAAAUAAUUCACGUUUAUUUAGACAUUUUUAUCCAAUUAUCCGUGCAAAAUUCCAAUGGAUCAAUUCUAUUUUAGUUAAUUUCCAUGUCGUCUUAGACGUCACCUUGAUUAUUCUUGGAAGUGAACAUAGAAUGUGAGACAAGGGUUAAGGGAAUUGUUAAAUGAUCUGUUAUUGAUUGACGAAUGUAUCGGAGAUAAAUAUAUGAGUAUAUGGUCUGUUAAGAAA
RNA transcript from Diachasmimorpha longicaudata, 2620 nucleotides. It is a transcript of the gene named glycerol-3-phosphate dehydrogenase [NAD(+)], cytoplasmic, with no coding region annotated. The record is from RefSeq and is a predicted model, not a curated record. The transcript has 8 exons. NCBI's taxonomy places the organism in Eukaryota, Metazoa, Arthropoda, Insecta, Hymenoptera, Braconidae.